Molecule: ribosomal RNA, 1237 nt
Filed under: Hevansia arachnophila
Lineage: Eukaryota; Fungi; Ascomycota; Sordariomycetes; Hypocreales; Cordycipitaceae
Description: SSU rRNA
Rfam family: Eukaryotic small subunit ribosomal RNA
Source: RNAcentral
CUGCGAAUGGCUCAUUAUAUAAGUUAUCGUUUAUUUGAUAGUGCCUUACUACUUGGAUAACCGUGGUAAUUCUAGAGCUAAUACAUGCUGAAAUUCCCGACUUCGGAAGGGAUGUGUUUAUUAGAUUAAAAACCAAUGCCCUCUGGGCUCCUUGGUGAUUCAUGAUAACUGUUCGAAUCGCAUGGCCUUGCGCCGGCGAUGGUUCAUUCAAAUUUCUUCCCUAUCAACUUUCGAUGUUUGGGUAUUGGCCAAACAUGGUUGCAACGGGUAACGGAGGGUUAGGGCUCGACCCCGGAGAAGGAGCCUGAGAAACGGCUACUACAUCCAAGGAAGGCAGCAGGCGCGCAAAUUACCCAAUCCCGAUCCGGGGAGGUAGUGACAAUAAAUACUGAUACAGGGCUCUUUUGGGUCUUGUAAUUGGAAUGAGUACAAUUUAAAUCCCUUAACGAGGAACAAUUGGAGGGCAAGUCUGGUGCCAGCAGCCGCGGUAAUUCCAGCUCCAAUAGCGUAUAUUAAAGUUGUUGUGGUUAAAAAGCUCGUAGUUGAACCUUGGGCCUGGCUGGCCGGUCCGCCUCACCGCGUGCACUGGUCCGGCCGGGUCUUUCCCUCUGCGGAACCCCAUGCCCUUCACUGGGCGUGGCGGGGAAGCAGGACUUUUACUUUGAAAAAAUUAGAGUGCUUCAGGCAGGCCUAUGCUCGAAUACAUUAGCAUGGAAUAAUGAAAUAGGACGCGCGGUUCUAUUUUGUUGGUUUCUGGGACCGCCGUAAUGAUUAAUAGGGACAGUCGGGGGCAUCAGUAUUCAAUCGUUAGAGGUGAAAUUCUUGGAUCGAUUGAAGACUAACUACUGCGAAAGCAUUUGCCAAGGAUGUUUUCAUUAAUCAGGAACGAAAGUUAGGGGAUCGAAGACGAUCAGAUACCGUCGUAGUCUUAACCAUAAACUAUGCCGACUAGGGAUCGGACGACGUUAUUUUUUGACUCGUUCGGCACCUUACGAGAAAUCAAAGUGCUUGGGCUCCAGGGGGAGUAUGGUCGCAAGGCUGAAACUUAAAGAAAUUGACGGAAGGGCACCACCAGGGGUGGAGCCUGCGGCUUAAUUUGACUCAACACGGGGAAACUCACCAGGUCCAGACACAAUGAGGAUUGACAGAUUGAGAGCUCUUUCUUGAUUUUGUGGGUGGUGGUGCAUGGCCGUUCUUAGUUGGUGGAGUGAUUUGUCUGCUUAAUUGCGAUAACGAA